This 467-nucleotide ribosomal RNA is filed under the name uncultured bacterium. RNAcentral describes it as "partial 16S ribosomal RNA". It matches the Rfam family "Bacterial small subunit ribosomal RNA", at positions 28 to 506 of the family's 1533-position model. The record is from RNAcentral.
GAUGAACGCUGGCGGCGUGCUUAACACAUGCAAGUCGAACGGAAAGGCCCUGCUUUUGUGGGGUGCUCGAGUGGCGAACGGGUGAGUAACACGUGAGUAACCUGCCCUUGACUUUGGGAUAACUUCAGGAAACUGGGGCUAAUACCGGAUAGGAGCUCCUGCUGCAUGGUGGGGGUUGGAAAGUUUCGGCGGUUGGGGAUGGACUCGCGGCUUAUCAGCUUGUUGGUGGGGUAGUGGCUUACCAAGGCUUUGACGGGUAGCCAGCCUGAGAGGGUGACCGGCCACAUUGGGACUGAGAUACGGCCCAGACUCCUACGGGAGGCAGCAGUGGGGAAUAUUGCACAAUGGGCGGAAGCCUGAUGCAGCAACGCCGCGUGCGGGAUGACGGCCUUCGGGUUGUAAACCGCUUUCGCCUGUGACGAAGCGUGAGUGACGGUAAUGGGUAAAGAAGCACCGGCUAACUACGU